RNAcentral lists this long non-coding RNA (327 nucleotides) under Pan troglodytes (chimpanzee). Its description in RNAcentral is "long non-coding RNA NONPTRT004786". Lineage: Eukaryota; Metazoa; Chordata; Mammalia; Primates; Hominidae. The record is from RNAcentral.
CAACAUGUAUUCCAGUCCAUACACAUAAAUACUACAAAACUUAUGUUAAUUAUUUUUACCUCUUUGACUUUUAAUGUUUAAAAAAUAAAAUAAAUUUAACUUUUAACAUUUGCUUUAGGAAUUAAUGCAAGAUUUAAGAUUUAAGGAUAGGUUUGCUGCAGGCAUAGUUUUAGGUAUUCUAAUCUACAUAGACAAGAAAUGAAUAACAAUUAUUUACUAACUUAUUCACUAACAAUAUUCUAAAGACAAUAUCUAGGAUGAAUAAAAAUUAGAAUCUUAAAGUAUUUACAUGUGUUAAUUCAUAUGCUUUUGUAAGUCAGGACUUCU